This 520-nucleotide ribosomal RNA is filed under the name uncultured Glomus. RNAcentral describes it as "SSU rRNA". It matches the Rfam family "Eukaryotic small subunit ribosomal RNA", at positions 569 to 1090 of the family's 1831-position model. Lineage: Eukaryota; Fungi; Glomeromycota; Glomeromycetes; Glomerales; Glomeraceae. The record is from RNAcentral.
AGCAGCCGCGGUAAUUCCAGCUCCAAUAGCGUAUAUUAAAGUUGUUGCAGUUAAAAAGCUCGUAGUUGAAUUUCGGGGUUAGUAGGUUGGUCAUGCCUCUGGUAUGUACUGGUCUCACUGAUUCCUCCUUCCUGAUGAACCUUAAUGCCAUUAAUUUGGUGUUUUGGGGAAUUUGGACUGUUACUUUGAAAAAAUUUAGAGUGUUUAAAGCAAGCUAACGCUUGAAUACAUUAGCAUGGAAUAGUGAAAUAGGACGUUCGAUCCUAUUUUGUUGGUUUCUAGGAUUGACGUAAUGAUUAAUAGGGAUAGUUGGGGGCAUUAGUAUUCAAUUGUCAGAGGUGAAAUUCUUGGAUUUAUUGAAGACUAACUACUGCGAAAGCAUUUGCCAAGGAUGUUUCAUUAAUCAAGAACGAAAGUUAGGGGAUCGAAGACGAUCAGAUACCGUCGUAGUCUUAACCAUAAACUAUGCCGACUAGGGAUCGGAUGAUGUUAAUUUUUUAAUGACUCAUUCGGCGCCUUA